Molecule: ribosomal RNA, 1075 nt
Filed under: Batracholandros salamandrae
Lineage: Eukaryota; Metazoa; Nematoda; Chromadorea; Rhabditida; Pharyngodonidae
Description: partial large subunit ribosomal RNA
Rfam family: Eukaryotic large subunit ribosomal RNA
Source: RNAcentral
AGUGAACGGGGAACAGCCCAACGCUGAAUCCUAUGGCCACUGGUCAUUGGGAAAUGUAGCGUAUAGGUGUGACUGUUCGGUGAUUUUUUUCACUUACCCCAAGUUCCCUUGAGCGGGGCAAAUGUCCAUAGAGGGUGCUAGGCCUGUACGGGUAGUGAAGUCAUUGAUCUUGGUUACUCCUUAGAGUCGAGUUGCCUGGGAACGCAGCUCAAAGUAGGUGGUAAACCUCAACUUUGCUAAAUAUGACUACGAGACCGAUAGCGAACAAGUACCGUGAGGGAAAGUUGCAAAGAACUUUGAAGAGAGAGUUCAAGAGGGCGUGAAACCGCUGAGAAGGAAGCGGAUAGAGUUGACGAAACACAGUGGCAUUCAUCUGAUCAGGUGCUAUUGAGUUUAACAAUACAAGUUUGUGGUAUUAUUUUACGAUAAUGGCCACAACUGGUAUUGUUGUAGCUGAAUAGGUUGAUUGGUGCUUUUGCCAUUGGUAUGCGCUGAGAGAUUCGCUAAUGAUGCGUUAAUAUCGAUUUAAAGAGGACUAUGCUUAACUAAGUGUAGAAACCAUUUAACGGUUGAGGGCGUAUUCAUGGUGAAUUGCUGUUUCGCAGUUAUAUCACUUGCUUUUAGCGCAACUGGUUAUUAUGUGAUUAUGGACAGCUGUUGAGCGGUCGCAUGCGACUUGCUUAUAGUUGCACUAUAGUCCAUUGAUAGCUUUUCUUAUGGUUGCGUUGGUGUAUAUAUCUUGGUGUAAAAGUUGACCACCUAUCCGACCCGUCUUGAAACACGGACCAAGGAGUUUAGCAUAUACGCAAGUCAUUGGGUGGCAAACCUAAAGGCGUAAUGAAAGUAAAGAUUGCAUUUAAUGCAUGUUAAUAUGGGAUCUAUAAUUUUUGCGUAAGUUAAAAUUGUGGCGCACCAUAGUCCCGUCCCCGUUGCUUGCAAUAGGGCGGAGAUAGAGCGUAUACGCUGAGACCCGAAAGAUGGUGAACUAUGCCUGAGCAGGAUGAAGCCAGAGGAAACUCUGGUGGAAGUCCGAAGCGAUUCUGACGUGCAAAUCGAUCGUCUGACUUGGGUAUAG